Molecule: ribosomal RNA, 434 nt
Filed under: uncultured bacterium
Lineage: Bacteria
Description: partial 16S ribosomal RNA
Rfam family: Bacterial small subunit ribosomal RNA
Source: RNAcentral
AGCGAACGCUGGCGGCAGGCCUAACACAUGCAAGUCGAACGAACCUUUCGGGUUUAGUGGCGGACGGGUGAGUAACGCGUGGGAACGUGCCUUUAGGUUCGGAAUAACUCAGGGAAACUUGUGCUAAUACCGGAUGUGCCCUUCGGGGGAAAGAUUAAUCGUCUUUAGAGCGGCCCGCGUCUGAUUAGCUAGUUGGUUGAGGUAAUGGCUCAUCAAGGCGACGAUCAGUAGCUGGUCUAGGAGGAUGAUCAGAGACACUGAGAGUGGGCAACAGUCCAGAAUCCUACGGGAGGCAGGAGUGCGGGAUCCAGCGAAAUCGGCGAAAGGAUGAAGGAGUCAUGCUGGGUGAAUGAUGAAGGUCUUAGGGAUGUAAAAUUCUUUAACAGGGGACGAUAAUGACGGUACCCGGAGAAGAAGCCCCGGCUAACUUCGUG